AGAUGUUAGGGUGAUCUGGCUGCAACAUCUGUCACCUCCUUGAUCGCCAGGGUUGAUUUGGCUGAUCUGGCUGGGUAGGAGGGUGUCACCUUCCUCCCUUUCUGCUCCAUGUAUGUCCCUCUGGAAGCUGAGGGUAGGUCAGAGAGGACGACCACCCUGCUAGAGGAGGACUGGUCUCGGUCAAUGGUACACCGGUAGCUGUGAUCCCCUGUUCAAACCUCCACACAAGCUCCCAAAUACAGGAACGACCAAGGCUGGCAUGGUAGUACACAGGCUAAUCCUCUGCCCUGUGGCACUGGUAUCCAUGAACACUGGUUCAUACCUCAGAU
Unclassified non-coding RNA from Ochotona princeps (American pika), 329 nucleotides. Its record names the gene 7SK. It matches the Rfam family "7SK RNA". Rfam says of the family: 7SK was discovered as an abundant small nuclear RNA in the mid-70s but a possible function has only recently been suggested. The record is from Ensembl. NCBI's taxonomy places the organism in Eukaryota, Metazoa, Chordata, Mammalia, Lagomorpha, Ochotonidae.